GCGGGGGCACGGGGGGCCUACGGGAGGCAGCAGUGGGGAAUAUUGCACAAUGGGGGAAAGCCUGAUGCAGCCAUGCCGCGUGUAUGAAGAAGGCCUUCGGGUUGUAAAGCACUUUCAGUUGUGAGGAAAGUUUAGUAGUUAAUACCUGCUAGUUGUGACGUUAGCAACAGAAGAAGCACCGGCUAACUCCGUGCCAGCAGCCGCGGUAAUACGGAGGGUGCGAGCGUUAAUCGGAAUUACUGGGCGUAAAGCGCACGCAGGCGGUUUGUUAAGUUAGAUGUGAAAGCCCCGGGCUCAACGUGGGAGGGUCAUUUAGAACUGGCAGACUAGAGUCUUGGAGAGGGGAGUGGAAUUUCAGGUGUAGCGGUGAAAUGCGUAGAGAUCUGGAGGAACAUCAAUGGCGAAGGCAACUCCCUGGCCAAAGACUGACACUCAUGUGCGAAAGUGUGGGUAGCGAACAGGAUUAGAUACCCUGGUAGUCCACACCGUAAACGCUGUCUACUAGCAGUUUGUGGCUUUAAUCCGUGAGUAGCGAAGCUAACGCGAUAAGUAGA
RNAcentral lists this ribosomal RNA (554 nucleotides) under uncultured Alteromonas sp. Its description in RNAcentral is "bacterial SSU rRNA". It matches the Rfam family "Bacterial small subunit ribosomal RNA", at positions 318 to 868 of the family's 1533-position model. Lineage: Bacteria; Pseudomonadati; Pseudomonadota; Gammaproteobacteria; Alteromonadales; Alteromonadaceae. The record is from RNAcentral.